UAAAACUACAAAUCAACACACACAUCACUCCCUUCUAUCUAAAACCGGCCACCCUAUUAAAAUAGGGUACUUUUGGGGCUUUUAUGCAAUUACAUAAAGUUUUGAUACUUUUGUGUAUUUGCACUUUGGCCCAAAAGUUUACGUUUUUACGUUUAGGUCCAAAAACGCUAGAGGACAAAUUGUUUUGCUCCUUUAAUGAAGUUUUUGCAUUGUUUAAAUUUUGGGUUCUAGUUGUAAUUACAUGAAGUAGUGGACUUUUGUGUUUUUACAAAGUGACCCUAAAAGUUUAUGUUUUUGCAAUAUAGCCCAAAGGUUGUGGUAAUUGCAUAUUGGCCCAAAUUAGGAUGAGAACAAAAUGGUUUUGUCUCUUUAAAUGAGAAUUGGAUUUUCAUUUCAUUUA
RNAcentral lists this long non-coding RNA (400 nucleotides) under Malus domestica (apple). RNAcentral describes it as "long non-coding RNA (MDOM_LNC000140)". The record is from RNAcentral. Lineage: Eukaryota; Viridiplantae; Streptophyta; Magnoliopsida; Rosales; Rosaceae.